RNAcentral lists this ribosomal RNA (430 nucleotides) under uncultured bacterium. RNAcentral describes it as "bacterial SSU rRNA". It matches the Rfam family "Bacterial small subunit ribosomal RNA", at positions 30 to 504 of the family's 1533-position model. The record is from RNAcentral.
CGAACGCUGGCGGCAGGCCUAACACAUGCAAGUCGAGCGCAGUCCUUCGGGACCGAGCGGCGGACGGGUUAGUAACGCGUGGGAAUAUACCCAGAUCUAAGGAAUAGCCUCGGGAAACUGAGAGUAAUACCUUAUACGCCCUUCGGGGGAAAGAUUUAUCGGAUUUGGAUUAGCCCGCGUUAGAUUAGAUAGUUGGUGGGGUAAUGGCCUACCAAGUCUACGAUCUAUAGCUGGUUUUAGAGGAUGAUCAGCAACACUGGGACUGAGACACGGCCCAGACUCCUACGGGAGGCAGCAGUGGGGAAUCUUAGACAAUGGGCGAAAGCCUGAUCUAGCCAUGCCGCGUGUGUGAUGAAGGCCCUAGGGUCGUAAAGCACUUUCGCCAGAGAUGAUAAUGACAGUAUCUGGUAAAGAAACCCCGGCUAACUCC